RNAcentral lists this ribosomal RNA (508 nucleotides) under uncultured bacterium. Its description in RNAcentral is "partial 16S ribosomal RNA". It matches the Rfam family "Bacterial small subunit ribosomal RNA", at positions 28 to 523 of the family's 1533-position model. The record is from RNAcentral.
GAUGAACGCUAGCUACAGGCUUAACACAUGCAAGUCGAGGGGAAACGAUAUUGGAAGCUUGCUUCCGAUAGGCGUCGACCGGCGCACGGGUGAGUAACGCGUAUCCAACCUGCCCAUCACUUGGGGAUAACCUUGCGAAAGUAAGACUAAUACCAAAUGACGUCUCUAGAAGACAUCUGAAGGAGAUUAAAUAUUUAUCGUUUAUGGAUGGGGAUGCGUCUGAUUAGCUUGUUGGCGGGGUAACGGUCCACCAAGGCGACGAUCAGUAGGGGUUCUGAGAGGAAGGUCCCCUACAUUGGAACUGAGACACGGUCCAAACUCCUACGGGAGGCAGCAGUGAGGAAUAUUGGUCAAUGGGCGAGAGUCUGAACCAGCCAAGUAGCGUGCAGGAUGACGGCCCUAUGGGUUGUAAACUGCUUUUAUAAGGGAAUAAAGUGAGUCUCGUGAGACUUUUUGCAUGUACCUUAUGAAUAAGGACCGGCUAAUUCCGUGCCAGCCGCCGCAGUAA